GGGUGAUUAGCUCAAUUGGUAGAGCAGCAGACUCUUAAUCUGUUGGCUGAAGGUUCGAGUCCUUCAUCACCCACCA
RNAcentral lists this transfer RNA (76 nucleotides) under Myxococcales bacterium. Its description in RNAcentral is "tRNA-Lys". It matches the Rfam family "tRNA". Rfam says of the family: Transfer RNA (tRNA) molecules are approximately 80 nucleotides in length. Lineage: Bacteria; Pseudomonadati; Myxococcota; Myxococcia; Myxococcales. The record is from RNAcentral. RNAcentral also lists the same sequence under 1 other name.